This 49-nucleotide non-coding RNA is filed under the name unclassified sequences. RNAcentral's name for it is "chromate-resist RNA". It matches the Rfam family "chrB-b RNA". The record is from RNAcentral.
UGGGGACACGCAGGCUCCCCUCUAGACGGCCUCUCCGUCCAAGCUCUGU